This 66-nucleotide microRNA precursor is filed under the name Phlebotomus papatasi. The record is from RNAcentral. Lineage: Eukaryota; Metazoa; Arthropoda; Insecta; Diptera; Psychodidae.
CCUGGUUCAGAUUUAUUCAAUUGUAUUCACAGACGACGUGAAUACAAUUGAAUAAAUCUGAACCAG